Long non-coding RNA from Panicum hallii, 534 nucleotides. RefSeq lists it as uncharacterized. Lineage: Eukaryota; Viridiplantae; Streptophyta; Magnoliopsida; Poales; Poaceae. The transcript has 2 exons. The record is from RefSeq and is a predicted model, not a curated record.
CGUUCAUCGUAGACACUUGCGUACGCAACAACACUGCUGCACGCAGCACCACGAUGGUUCUCAGUGCAAGCAGAAAAAGCUUGGUGGUACUGUGCUUCUUCUCUUCUCUCCUCGUAUUAUCGGUUGCUACUGAAACUUCCGGAGCCGAUGCUGCUGCUGCGAGGAAGAUGACGCCAGGAGGAGCCGCCGGGGCUGCAGACGAUACACCGGGAUACGGUUAUCCACCAGGAUACGGCGCAGGGAACAAAAUAAUGGCUAGUGGGGCUCUUGUAACUUUUUGUUGUUUCUUUCCUCUUCUUUUCUGAAGCAUGCUCUGCGUGCGCACGUACGCGGAAGAAUUAGCUGCAUAUUUGUAAGUGAAUAAAAUGACGGGUAGUGAGAGUGGUGCUUCUUUGGAUCCAUGCAUAGCUCCCACGGAUGUAUUUGUAAGUGAAUAAAAUGACUGGCAGCAGGCCGGUCUCUACUGUAAUCAAAACAUAUAUUGGCCUUGUUCGGCCGGUUCAGAUUAUAUAUAUAGCAUCGACAUGGCAAAUA